GUACUCACUUCAGCAGCAUGUAUACUAAAAUUGGAAAGAUACAGAGAAGAUUAGCAUGGCCACUGCACAAGGAUGACAUGCAAAUUUGAGAAGUGUUCCAUAUUUAA
Molecule: small nuclear RNA, 107 nt
Filed under: Sciurus vulgaris (Eurasian red squirrel)
Lineage: Eukaryota; Metazoa; Chordata; Mammalia; Rodentia; Sciuridae
Source: RNAcentral